RNAcentral lists this ribosomal RNA (541 nucleotides) under uncultured Bacteroidota bacterium. RNAcentral describes it as "bacterial SSU rRNA". It matches the Rfam family "Bacterial small subunit ribosomal RNA", at positions 173 to 715 of the family's 1533-position model. The record is from RNAcentral. Lineage: Bacteria; Pseudomonadati; Bacteroidota.
AUCAUGAGUUCACAUGUCCGCAUGAUUAAAGGUAUUUUCCGGUAGACGAUGGGGAUGCGUUUCAUUAGAUAGUAGGCGGGGUAACGGCCCACCUAGUCAACGAUGGAUAGGGGUUCUGAGAGGAAGGUCCCCCACAUUGGAACUGAGACACGGUCCAAACUCCUACGGGAGGCAGCAGUGAGGAAUAUUGGUCAAUGGGCGAUGGCCUGAACCAGCCAAGUAGCGUGAAGGAUGACUGCCCUAUGGGUUGUAAACUUCUUUUAUAAAGGAAUAAAGUCGGGUAUGCAUACCCGUUUGCAUGUACUUUAUGAAUAAGGAUCGGCUAACUCCGUGCCAGCAGCCGCGGUAAUACGGAGGAUCCGAGCGUUAUCCGGAUUUAUUGGGUUUAAAGGGAGCGUAGAUGGAUGUUUAAGUCAGUUGUGAAAGUUUGCGGCUCAACCGUAAAAUUGCAGUUGAUACUGGAUGUCUUGAGUGCAGUUGAGGCAGGCGGAAUUCGUGGUGUAGCGGUGAAAUGCUUAGAUAUCACGAAGAACUCCGAUUG